Molecule: ribosomal RNA, 465 nt
Filed under: uncultured bacterium
Lineage: Bacteria
Description: partial 16S ribosomal RNA
Rfam family: Bacterial small subunit ribosomal RNA
Source: RNAcentral
CUACGGGGCGCAGCAGUGAGGAAUUUUGCGCAAUGGGGGGAACCCUGACGCAGCAACGCCGCGUGAGUGAUGAAGGCUUUCGGGUCGUAAAGCUCUGUCAAGUGGGAAGAACCUAUGCAGUGUUAAUAUCACUGUAUACUGACGGUACCACUGAAGGAAGCACCGGCUAACUCCGUGCCAGCAGCCGCGGUAAUACGGGGGGUGCAAGCGUUAUUCGGAAUCAUUGGGCGUAAAGGGCACGUAGGCGGCUUGGUAAGUCAGAUGUGAGAGCCCGGGGCUUAACCCCGGAAGUGCAUUUGAUACUGUCAGGCUUGAGUAUGGGAGAGGGAAGUGGAAUUCCUGGUGUAGAGGUGAAAUUCGUAGAUAUCAGGAGGAACACCGGUGGCGAAGGCGACUUCCUGGACCAAUACUGACGCUGAGGUGCGAAGGCGCGGGUAGCAAACAGGAUUAGAUACCCUGGUAGUC